UUAAGCAUAUCAAUAAGCGGAGGAAAAAGAAACCAACAGGGGAUUGCCCUAGUAACGGCGAGUGAAGCGGCAACAGCUCAAAUUUGAAAUCUGGUCCUUUCAGGGCCCGAGUUGUAAUUUGCAGAGGAUGCUUCGGGUACGGGUGCCUACUGAGUUCCCUGGAACGGGACGCCAUAGAGGGUGAGAGCCCCGUCUAGUAGGAUACCCAGCCCAUGUGAAGCUCCCUCGACGAGUCGAGUAGUUUGGGAAUGCUGCUCUAAUGGGAGGUAUACUCCUUCCAAGGCUAAAUACCGGCUGGAGACCGAUAGCGCACAAGUAGAGUGAUCGAAAGAUGAAAAGCACUUUGAAAAGAGAGUCAAAUAGCACGUGAAAUUGUUGAAAGGGAAGCGCUCGCUACCAGACUUGAGUUAGGCGGUUCAACCGGGGCCACGCCCCGGGGCACUCCACCUGCUCAGGCCAGCAUCAGCUUUCCGUCGGGGGCAAAGGCGUCGGGAAUGUGGCUCUCCUCCGGGAGAGUGUUAUAGCCCGGCGUGUCAUACCCUUCGGGGGGCUGAGGUACGCGCUUCUGCAAGGAUGCUGGCGUAAUGGUAGCUAGUGACCCGUCUUGAAACACGGACCAAGGAGUCAACCUUAUGUGCGAGUGCCCGGGCGUAAAACCCCAGCGCGGAAUGAAAGUGAACGUAGGUGAGAGCUUCGGCGCAUCACCGACCGAUCCUGAUGUCCUCGGACGGAUUUGAGUGAGAGCAUAUAGGGUUGGACCCGAAAGAAGAUGAACUAUGCGUGUGUAGGGUGAAGCCAGAGGAAACUCUGGUGGAGGCUCGCAGCGGUUCUGACGUGCAAAUCGAUCGUCAAACAUGCGCAUGGGGCGAAAGACUAAUCGAAUCUUCUGGUAGCUGGUUUCCGCCGAGU
Molecule: ribosomal RNA, 909 nt
Filed under: Furcasterigmium furcatum
Lineage: Eukaryota; Fungi; Ascomycota; Sordariomycetes; Glomerellales; Plectosphaerellaceae
Description: partial large subunit ribosomal RNA
Rfam family: Eukaryotic large subunit ribosomal RNA
Source: RNAcentral